Molecule: ribosomal RNA, 2767 nt
Filed under: Escherichia coli
Lineage: Bacteria; Pseudomonadati; Pseudomonadota; Gammaproteobacteria; Enterobacterales; Enterobacteriaceae
Description: 23S ribosomal RNA
Rfam family: Bacterial large subunit ribosomal RNA
Source: RNAcentral
UUAAGCGACUAAGCGUACACGGUGGAUGCCCUGGCAGUCAGAGGCGAUGAAGGACGUGCUAAUCUGCGAUAAGCGUCGGUGAGGUGAUAUGAACCGUUAUAACCGGCGAUUUCCGAAUGGGGAAACCCAGUGUGUUUCGACACACUAUCAUUAACUGAAUCCAUAGGUUAAUGAGGCGAACCGGGGGAACUGAAACAUCUAAGUACCCCGAGGAAAAGAAAUCAACCGAGAUUCCCCCAGUAGCGGCGAGCGAACGGGGAGGAGCCCAGAGCCUGAAUCAGUGUGUGUGUUAGUGGAAGCGUCUGGAAAGGCGCGCGAUACAGGGUGACAGCCCCGUACACAAAAAUGCACAUACUGUGAGCUCGAUGAGUAGGGCGGGACACGUGGUAUCCUGUCUGAAUAUGGGGGGACCAUCCUCCAAGGCUAAAUACUCCUGACUGACCGAUAGUGAACCAGUACCGUGAGGGAAAGGCGAAAAGAACCCCGGCGAGGGGAGUGAAAAAGAACCUGAAACCGUGUACGUACAAGCAGUGGGAGCCUCUUAAUGGGGUGACUGCGUACCUUUUGUAUAAUGGGUCAGCGACUUAUAUUCUGUAGCAAGGUUAACCGAAUAGGGGAGCCGAAGGGAAACCGAGUCUUAACUGGGCGUUAAGUUGCAGGGUAUAGACCCGAAACCCGGUGAUCUAGCUAUGGGCAGGUUGAAGGUUGGGUAACACUAACUGGAGGACCGAACCGACUAAUGUUGAAAAAUUAGCGGAUGACUUGUGGCUGGGGGUGAAAGGCCAAUCAAACCGGGAGAUAGCUGGUUCUCCCCGAAAGCUAUUUAGGUAGCGCCUCGUGAAUUCAUCUCCGGGGGUAGAGCACUGUUUCGGCAAGGGGGUCAUCCCGACUUACCAACCCGAUGCAAACUGCGAAUACCGGAGAAUGUUAUCACGGGAGACACACGGCGGGUGCUAACGUCCGUCGUGAAGAGGGAAACAACCCAGACCGCCAGCUAAGGUCCCAAAGUCAUGGUUAAGUGGGAAACGAUGUGGGAAGGCCCAGACAGCCAGGAUGUUGGCUUAGAAGCAGCCAUCAUUUAAAGAAAGCGUAAUAGCUCACUGGUCGAGUCGGCCUGCGCGGAAGAUGUAACGGGGCUAAACCAUGCACCGAAGCUGCGGCAGCGACGCUUAUGCGUUGUUGGGUAGGGGAGCGUUCUGUAAGCCUGUGAAGGUGGCCUGUGAGGGUUGCUGGAGGUAUCAGAAGUGCGAAUGCUGACAUAAGUAACGAUAAAGCGGGUGAAAAGCCCGCUCGCCGGAAGACCAAGGGUUCCUGUCCAACGUUAAUCGGGGCAGGGUGAGUCGACCCCUAAGGCGAGGCCGAAAGGCGUAGUCGAUGGGAAACAGGUUAAUAUUCCUGUACUUGGUGUUACUGCGAAGGGGGGACGGAGAAGGCUAUGUUGGCCGGGCGACGGUUGUCCCGGUUUAAGCGUGUAGGCUGGUUUUCCAGGCAAAUCCGGAAAAUCAAGGCUGAGGCGUGAUGACGAGGCACUACGGUGCUGAAGCGACAAAUGCCCUGCUUCCAGGAAAAGCCUCUAAGCAUCAGGUAACAUUAAAUCGUACCCCAAACCGACACAGGUGGUCAGGUAGAGAAUACCAAGGCGCUUGAGAGAACUCGGGUGAAGGAACUAGGCAAAAUGGUGCCGUAACUUCGGGAGAAGGCACGCUGAUAUGUAGGUGAAGCGACUUGCUCGUGGAGCUGAAAUCAGUCGAAGAUACCAGCUGGCUGCAACUGUUUAUUAAAAACACAGCACUGUGCAAACACGAAAGUGGACGUAUACGGUGUGACGCCUGCCCGGUGCCGGAAGGUUAAUUGAUGGGGUUAGCGGUAACGCGAAGCUCUUGAUCGAAGCCCCGGUAAACGGCGGCCGUAACUAUAACGGUCCUAAGGUAGCGAAAUUCCUUGUCGGGUAAGUUCCGACCUGCACGAAUGGCGUAAUGAUGGCCAGGCUGUCUCCACCCGAGACUCAGUGAAAUUGAACUCGCUGUGAAGAUGCAGUGUACCCGCGGCAAGACGGAAAGACCCCGUGAACCUUUACUAUAGCUUGACACUGAACAUUGAGCCUUGAUGUGUAGGAUAGGUGGGAGGCUUUGAAGUGUGGACGCCAGUCUGCAUGGAGCCGACCUUGAAAUACCACCCUUUAAUGUUUGAUGUUCUAACGUGGGCCCCUUACCGGGGUUGCGGACAGUGUCUGGUGGGUAGUUUGACUGGGGCGGUCUCCUCCUAAAGAGUAACGGAGGAGCACGAAGGUUGGCUAAUCCUGGUCGGACAUCAGGAGGUUAGUGCAAUGGCAUAAGCCAGCUUGACUGCGAGCGUGACGGCGCGAGCAGGUGCGAAAGCAGGUCAUAGUGAUCCGGUGGUUCUGAAUGGAAGGGCCAUCGCUCAACGGAUAAAAGGUACUCCGGGGAUAACAGGCUGAUACCGCCCAAGAGUUCAUAUCGACGGCGGUGUUUGGCACCUCGAUGUCGGCUCAUCACAUCCUGGGGCUGAAGUAGGUCCCAAGGGUAUGGCUGUUCGCCAUUUAAAGUGGUACGCGAGCUGGGUUUAGAACGUCGUGAGACAGUUCGGUCCCUAUCUGCCGUGGGCGCUGGAGAACUGAGGGGGGCUGCUCCUAGUACGAGAGGACCGGAGUGGACGCAUCACUGGUGUUCGGGUUGUCAUGCCAAUGGCACUGCCCGGUAGCUAAAUGCGGAAGAGAUAAGUGCUGAAAGCAUCUAAGCACGAAACU